Molecule: transfer RNA, 67 nt
Filed under: Marmota monax (woodchuck)
Lineage: Eukaryota; Metazoa; Chordata; Mammalia; Rodentia; Sciuridae
Description: tRNA.Ala
Rfam family: tRNA
About the family: Transfer RNA (tRNA) molecules are approximately 80 nucleotides in length. Their secondary structure includes four short double-helical elements and three loops (D, anti-codon, and T loops).
Source: RNAcentral
GGUUAUGGCUCAGCGGUAGAGCAUUCACCUUGCAUGUGCAAGGCCCUGGGUUCAAUCCUCAGCACCA